RNAcentral lists this ribosomal RNA (401 nucleotides) under uncultured bacterium. Its description in RNAcentral is "bacterial SSU rRNA". It matches the Rfam family "Bacterial small subunit ribosomal RNA", at positions 102 to 518 of the family's 1533-position model. The record is from RNAcentral.
ACGGGUGAGUAACGCGUGGGUAACCUGCCUCAGUACAGGGGGAUAACAGUUGGAAACGACUGCUAAGACCGCAUAACCCGCUAGUGUCGCAUGACACGGACGGAAAAUAUUUAUAGGUAUGAGAUGGGCCCGCGUCUGAUUAGCUAGUUGGUAAGGUAACGGCUUACCAAGGCGACGAUCAGUAGCCGACUUGAGAGAGUGAUCGGCCACAUUGGGACUGAGACACGGCCCAAACUCCUACGGGAGGCAGCAGUGGGGAAUAUUGGACAAUGGGGGGAAACCCUGAUCCAGCCGACGCCGCGUGAGUGAAGAAGUAUUUCGGUAUGUAAAGCUCUAUCAGCAGGGAAGAUAAUGACAGUACCUGACUAAGAAGCCCCGGCUAACUACGUGCCAGCCGCCGC